RNAcentral lists this ribosomal RNA (497 nucleotides) under uncultured bacterium. Its description in RNAcentral is "partial 16S ribosomal RNA". It matches the Rfam family "Bacterial small subunit ribosomal RNA", at positions 28 to 507 of the family's 1533-position model. The record is from RNAcentral.
GAUGAACGCUGGCGGCGUGCCUAAUACAUGCAAGUCGAGCGAACGGACGAGAAGCUUGCUUUUCUGAUGUUAGCGGCGGACGGGUGAGUAACACGUGGAUAACCUACCUAUAAGACUGGGAUAACUUCGGGAAACCGGAGCUAAUACCGGAUAAUAUUUUGAACCGCAUGGUUCAUAAGUGAAAGACGGUCUUGCUGUCACUUAUAGAUGGAUCCGCGCUGCAUUAGCUAGUUGGUAAGGUAACGGCUUACCAAGGCAACGAUGCAUAGCCGACCUGAGAGGGUGAUCGGCCACACGGGAACUGGAACACGGUCCAGACUCCUACGGGAGGCAGCAGUAGGGAAUCUUCCGCAAUGGGCGAAAGCCUGACGGAGCAACGCCGCGUGAGUGAUGAAGGUCUUCGGAUCGUAAAACUCUGUUAUUAGGGAAGAACAUAUGUGUAAGUAACUGUGCACAUCUUGACGGUACCUAAUCAGAAAGCCACGGCUAACUACGUG